This 352-nucleotide ribosomal RNA is filed under the name Busseola sp. BUKEG3713. RNAcentral describes it as "partial 12S small subunit ribosomal RNA". The record is from RNAcentral. Lineage: Eukaryota; Metazoa; Arthropoda; Insecta; Lepidoptera; Noctuidae.
AAAAUUUAAAAUUGAAAUACUAAAAUAGUAAAUAAAUAUUUAUUUAAACUUAAAUGAUUUGGCGGUAUUUUAGUUCAUUUAGAGGAAUCUGUUUAAUAAUUGAUAUUCCACGAAUAAAUUUACUUAAUUUAUAAUUUUGUAUAUCGUUGUUAUAAAAAUAUUUUUUAAUAAAAUUAAUAUUUAAAAAUUAAUAAUAUAAAUUUAAAUCAGAUCAAGAUGCAGAGUAUAGUUAAGAAUAUAAUGGAUUACAAUAAAUUUAUUUAAAUAGAUUUUAAUUUGUAAAAAUUAAUUAAAAGUGGAUUUAAAUGUAAUUUUAUUUAAUUUAAUGGAAUGAUUAAAAAUUAAAAUAUGU